RNAcentral lists this signal recognition particle RNA (288 nucleotides) under Aotus nancymaae (Ma's night monkey). RNAcentral describes it as "Metazoan signal recognition particle RNA (ENSANAG00000004417.1)". It matches the Rfam family "Metazoan signal recognition particle RNA". From Rfam's summary of the family: The signal recognition particle (SRP) is a universally conserved ribonucleoprotein. It is involved in the co-translational targeting of proteins to membranes. Lineage: Eukaryota; Metazoa; Chordata; Mammalia; Primates; Aotidae. The record is from RNAcentral.
GCCGGGCAUGGUGGCGCAUGCCUGUAGUCCCAGCUACGUGGGAGGCUGAGGAGGGAGGAUCGCUUCAGCCCAGGAGUUCUGGGCUGUAGUGCACUAUGCCGAUCGGGUGUCUGCACUAAGUUUGGCAUCAAUAUGGUGACCUCCUGGGAGCGGGGGACCACCAGGUUGCCUAAGGAGAGGUGAACUGGCCCAGGUCGGAAAUGGAGCAGGGUCAACACUCCCAUGCUGAUGACGCCUGUGACUAGCCACUGCACUCCAGCCUGGGCAACAUAGUGAGGCCACGUCUCU